Molecule: unclassified non-coding RNA, 263 nt
Filed under: Hevea brasiliensis (rubber tree)
Lineage: Eukaryota; Viridiplantae; Streptophyta; Magnoliopsida; Malpighiales; Euphorbiaceae
Source: RNAcentral
AGAAGACCCAAUUGAGUAUCGAAAAUCAGCUUUUCCAAUAACAUUUACAUUCUGUGCAGCUUUAAAAACCGGCACAGAUUGAACAGCAACUGCUAAAUCAUCACGUUCCUUCUGAGUAGCUUUUCUAUCAAGAUGAAGUAAAUACUGAUUUCUUGGAUGAUACACAGCAAACAACAAACGGAGGAUUCUAGAAGAGUCUUUAGUGGAUCCAGAUAUGAGAUAUGCAAUUGAAGGUGGGGUGGGUGGGGUGGAUGGAAGGGUAU